AUGGGAACUGUUGAAUCACGGCCUGAACCGCUGAUUGAUCACCUGAGGAAAGGACUGAGUCAGCCAUGGGACUCCACCUCUCAGAUGCCAUUUAAGGUCUGACUGCUGCAGGGGAAGGAUCUCCUUCUGGAGAUCCCUCCUCUGUGUAAUCUUUUUUGGGAACCUAGAUCUUUGGAUACAGCAUAAAGCUAUGGAGGCAUGAUCAUAACAGAUAAGGAGAAAUUGAUUUCAGAACAGAACAACAGAUAAGUAAACAGAAAUCCUGAUUGACCUCAGAUGGCUUUGGUAAACAGAAUAAACACAAAUAAAUGAUGAUUGAAAUUGUUCAGAUUGCUGAUGAGGAGCAGAGGGGGAAGUAUAAGGGCUCCAUUUGUUUUCUAGUUUCUGCUUUUUUUCAGAACUAGAAAUUGAUUAACUGCAAUAGCAUGUACCUUAAAAUUUUCACGCUUAAUGUUAUAUAAGUUGUUAUGAUGACCUCAGAUUUGAUUUGUUACAUUAUAUUUAUUAUUAAAUUGCUAGCAUCUAAUUUGCAUUUGAAAGACCUUCUUCUAUGUAUUGUUCAACAAAUCAAUUGUUGCAGUAGUUUUGAGGUGUUCUUCCAGAGGUGUAGUGAUUUGUGGUGAUUAGAACUUUUAUCACAAUUAAUUUAAUGUCUCAUGUAAAAAAAAAAGUCUUACAAUUACUGCAUCAAUCUAUAGUAGCUUUUAAGAAAUGCAGCGAAUUUGCUGUAGAUUAUGCCUGAAAUUUGAUGAGUUAAUUAGGCUUCCUAACCUGUUAUCUUACCUUUCAUAAUUAAUACCAUAAUCAUAUUCAUCUAAACUCAAUUAUACAGAAGACAUUGUGUGAAUGUUUUUUUUUUUUUAAAUGAAACAAAACAUGGGCACAGUAAGACAGCUGUACACUCCUCAGGGUGCAAAUUCUUUAGCAACUGAUGCUGUAAUUAAAACAGAAAUUCCAUGUCUCUAGUGUUUAGGGAAAUUGCUUUUGUAUUUAUUAGAAAUUCUGGACAGUGUUGACCUAAUAACUACAGCCUCUAAUUACAAGGUCCAUACAUAUUUAAAAGCAAAGUGUCUCUCCUGAGUUCAGGGUAUGAAAAAUGUGUAGUCUGGUUGUUGGGGUGGGUAAUGUUUAGGCUGGGAUGAUUGAGUCAGACCCAGAGAAACAUUUGAUUCUAAAAUGACUGAAAUAUUCUUUUUUUUUUUCUUUUCUUUUUCACUUGAAUGGAAAGCUCAACCACGUUGCUGAGAUUGAGCUUCACUCUUGGUAUUCAAGGUAUUAUCCUGCAGAUUAAGAAAGUAAUCCUAAUAAUCUAGAGAAAAGAUGUAGUACCCAGUGUUACUUCUGUAUCAAAUCUUCUCAUCUGUAAAUUCUAGACCAAUCUGUUCUUAAUAAUUAAGUUAGUUUUUCAGGACAUAUAUUUGCAGGUGGAUUUAAUAUUAUUACUUGAAAUAGUAUUAAAGAUACAGAUACAGAAACACUGAGAAACUCUCUUUAAUCCUGAGAGGACUCUGUUCUGUUUCCCUUUUAGGCAACGUUAAGCAUCUGUUAUUUCUGAAUCUUCUCUGAGACCGUGCGCUUCAUCAUGUGCAAACACUAUUACUCUGCUGAACUUUUUCAAAGGUGCCAUUAUUGGAAAUGGCUGCAGCUGAGAGGGAGAAACUGUAGAAUUUUCAAAAUGAUGUCCCUGGUCAGGAAGGAAUAACUACCCAAAAACUGAAAUAAAUUAUCAGUGUAUCCAUUUUUAUCUUUAAUAUUCCAAAUAACAUAAAGUGAGAUAGGUGAGACGAAAAGUAUUGGACUUUUUGACAAUAUCAAUGAAUGUUUGAUGUCAAUUGGAAUUGUUAUUGAUAUCAGUAAUUAUGCAAAAUAUAUAUAUUUAAAUAUAGUGAUUUAACAUCUUAAAUGUUUUAAAGAGAGAGUGCUGCACAUAAGGAAAUGACUGUUGUCAUGACUGGAGAUAUUUUAGCUUUUAUCUUUAUUUAUUUUGACUCAGUUUGUCUUAUGUAUUUUAUACAGGCAAGGCAAAAGCCAUAGACUAUCAAAUGAAGUAGAGAUGCGGGGAAGAUUUUUCAGAUUCAAACAUGAGUAUUUGGGGUAUGUGAAUCUACUAAAUUUACCUCUAGGUACAGGUGCAGUAAAAAUGAGUGAUUUAGUUCAUUUAUAGACCAGCUGGUGCAUGGCUUUGUACAAAAUUGUAAUGGAUGUAGCGGAUUCUUUUGUAUGCAAUGAACAAUUUCUAUGAAAAGUUAGCCAUUUAAACAGUGUCUAUUUUAUUAGGAUUUCUGGAUAUAUGGUAACUUGCUUGGAGAGACACAAUAGUCUGGCAAUAACAGCACAGCAGCAUCUGAUACCCUUAACAGAGCUCUUAUAUUCAACAGACCCAGACAGU
Molecule: long non-coding RNA, 2389 nt
Organism: Tympanuchus pallidicinctus (lesser prairie-chicken)
Lineage: Eukaryota; Metazoa; Chordata; Aves; Galliformes; Phasianidae
Exons: 3
Source: RefSeq, a predicted model, not a curated record